This 774-nucleotide ribosomal RNA is filed under the name Cryptosporidium parvum. Its description in RNAcentral is "SSU rRNA". It matches the Rfam family "Eukaryotic small subunit ribosomal RNA", at positions 237 to 1049 of the family's 1831-position model. Lineage: Eukaryota; Apicomplexa; Conoidasida; Eucoccidiorida; Cryptosporidiidae. The record is from RNAcentral.
AUAUAAUUGGUGACUCAUAAUAACUUUACGGAUCACAUUAAGUGUGACAUAUCGUUCAAGUUUCUGACCUAUCAGCUUUAGACGGUAGGGUAUUGGCCUACCGUGGCGAUGACGGGUAACGGGGAAUUAGGGUUCGAUUCCGGAGAGGGAGCCUGAGAAACGGCUACCACAUCUAAGGAAGGCAGCAGGCGCGCAAAUUACCCGAUCCUAAUACAGGGAGGUAGUGACAAGAAAUAACAAUACAGGACUUUUUGGUUUUGUAAUUGGAAUGAGUUAAGUAUAAACCCCUUUACAAGUAUCAAUUGGAGGGCAGGUCUGGUGCCAGCAGCCGCGGUAAUUCCAGCUCCAAUAGCGUAUAUUAAAGUUGUUGCAGUUAAAAAGCUCGUAGUUGGAUUUCUGUUAAUAAUUUAUAUAAAAUAUUUUGAAUAUUUAUAUAACAUUGACAUAAUUCAUAUUACUAUAUUUUUUAGUAUAUGAAAUUUUACUUUGAGAAAAUUAGAGUGCUUAAAGCAGGCAUAUGCCUUGAAUACUCCAGCAUGGAAUAAUAUUAAAGAUUUUUAUCUUUUUUAUUGGUUCUAAGAUAAGAAUAAUGAUUAAUAGGGACAGUUGGGGGCAUUUGUAUUUAACAGUCAGAGGUGAAAUUCUUAGAUUUGUUAAAGACAAACUAAUGCGAAAGCAUUUGCCAAGGAUGUUUUCAUUAAUCAAGAACGAAAGUUAGGGGAUCGAAGACGAUCAGAUACCGUCGUAGUCUUAACCAUAAACUAUGCCAACUAG